GGAGGUGGCAAGCGUUGUUCGGAUUCAUUGGGUGUAAAGGGCAUGUAGGUGGCUUUUUAAGUCGAUUGUGAAAUCCCUUGGCUUAACCGAGGAACUGCAAUCGAUACUGAAGGGCUUGAGUGCAGAAGAGGAGAACGGAAUUCCCGGUGUAAGAGUGAAAUCUGUAGAGAUCGGGAGGAACACCAGUGGCGAAGGCGGUUCUCUGGUCUGCAACUGACACUGAAAUGCGAAAGCAAGGGGAGCAAACAGGAUUAGAUACCCUGGUAGUCCUUGCCGUAAACGAUGGGCACUAGGUGUCGGGUAGCAAUACUCGGUGCCGCAGUUAACACAUUAAGUGCCCCACCUGGGGACUACGGCCGCAAGGUUG
This 367-nucleotide ribosomal RNA is filed under the name uncultured organism. RNAcentral describes it as "partial 16S ribosomal RNA". It matches the Rfam family "Bacterial small subunit ribosomal RNA", at positions 527 to 896 of the family's 1533-position model. The record is from RNAcentral.